Molecule: non-coding RNA, 24 nt
Filed under: Aedes aegypti (yellow fever mosquito)
Lineage: Eukaryota; Metazoa; Arthropoda; Insecta; Diptera; Culicidae
Also listed under: 1 other name
Gene: aae-miR-283
Source: miRBase by way of RNAcentral
CAAUAUCAGCUGGUAAUUCUGGGC